Molecule: long non-coding RNA, 637 nt
Filed under: Vigna radiata
Lineage: Eukaryota; Viridiplantae; Streptophyta; Magnoliopsida; Fabales; Fabaceae
Description: long non-coding RNA (VRAD_LNC000129)
Source: RNAcentral
UAAUAAUAAAAUGGUAAGUCCAAGUAUCGUUUUCCCAUGAGACUCACGGCACUAAAUUGUUGUGCUUUUGCUUAACCAAUCAUAACUAUAAAAAUAAUAUUUUGGGAUUUUUAUAAAGUACAGAAAAAUAAACAUGAAUGCAAUUUGAUCAAUUGAGGUUAAACACAAAAGUGGAUGAAUGAAUGGAUGUUGUUGGGGGUUUACAAUUUCAUCUAAUCCGCUCUCUCUUACAUACUACCCUUGAAUAUUAGUUUGAUUAAUUCAAUUGUCAUGCGACUUUCUUAGCCUCCCCUUAACCCGAUCCCUCGGCAAAAAGGGCCUAAUAUUAAAUAUUGGCUUGCUAUCCCUAGCCUCCCCUAAUAAUUAAUACCGCAUUAUAAACAGAAGUUAGCGCAAUUGAUCGUCCUACCCUAUCCCUAGGUGAUAUUGCAAAAUCAAGAAAUUACUCACCAGUUCAUGUCAUUANUGUACGUCCCCAUAUCAAUAAAGACAAACAUCAGUUACCGAAUGAGUUAAACGAUAAAGGCCUUAAGCACAGAUGAUAACCCAACAAUAAUCAAUCAAAAUAUAUGGAGACCAUAUAAAUAAUCAAGAGUUUCAAUAAAAGAGAGCAUCAAAAGAUUACAUUGUUUCCCCC